This 2192-nucleotide ribosomal RNA is filed under the name human gut metagenome. Its description in RNAcentral is "bacterial LSU rRNA". It matches the Rfam family "Bacterial large subunit ribosomal RNA", at positions 14 to 2299 of the family's 2925-position model. The record is from RNAcentral.
AGGGCGCAAGGUGAAUGCCUUGGCACUGGGAGCCGAUGAAAGACGUGGUAAGCUGCGAAAAGCUUCGGGGAGGAGCAAACAUCCAUUGAUCCGGAGAUAUCUGAAUGGGGCAACCCAAUGGAGUUCAUACUCCAUUAUCCAAUACUGAAUCCAUAGGUAUUGGAAGGGAACCGCCUGAACUGAAACAUCUAAGUAGGGCGAGGAAGAGACAUCAAACGAGAUUCCGUAAGUAGUGGCGAGCGAACGCGGAAGAGGGCAAACCGAGAGGAGAAAUCCUUUCGGGGUACGGACUGCUUUUAGGACUGAAAGAGUUAACAGAAUGGCAUGGGAAGGCCAACCGAAGAGUGUGAGAGUCACGUAAGUAAAAAUUCUGACAGCUGCGCAGGAUCCAGAGUACGGCCAGACACGUGAAACCUGGUCGGAACAUGGGGGGACCACCCUCCAACCCUAAAUACUACCCAGUGACCGAUAGCGUAUAGUACUGUGAAGGAAAGGUGAAAAGGACCCCGGGAGGGGAGUGAAAGAGAACCUGAAACCUUGUGCCUACAAGCACAUAGAGCCCGUCAAAGGGUGAUAUGGUACUUUUUGUAGAACGGUCCGGCGAGCGAUUGUACGUUGCGAGCUUAAGGUCUUAAGGACUGGAGGCGUAGCGAGAGCGAGUCUAAACAGGGCGUUUAGUAGCGUGCAAUGGGCCCGAAACCGGGUGACCUACCCAUGAUCAGGCUGAAGUGAAAGUAAAAUUUCAUGGAGGGCCGAACCGACCUCCGUUGAAAAGGCGGCGGAUGAAUUGUGGGUAGCGGAGAAAUUCCAAUCGAACUCGGAGAUAGCUGGUUCUCCCCGAAAUAGCUUUAGGGCUAGCCUCAUGUUAGAUAUCCGGAGGUAAAGCACUGAAUGGCCUAGCGUCCGAGAGGAUAGCGAAGCCUAUCAAACUAAGAAUGCCGGAAUAUUGAUGCAUGGGAGUCAGACAGUGUGAGAUAAAUCUCAUUGUCAAAAGGGAAACAGCCCAGAUCUACAGCUAAGGUCCCAAAUUGUAUCUAAGUGGAAAACGAUGUGGAAAUACGCAGACAACCAGGAUGUUGGCUCAGAAGCAGCCACUCAUUUAAAGAGUGCGUAAUAGCUCACUGGUCGAGCGUCUCUGCGCGGAAAAUUUAACGGGGCUAAGAUACAAACCGAAGCUUAGGCUGCAUACGUAAGUAUGCGGGGUAGGGGAGCGUUGUGUAAGCGGAGAAACAGUAGCGAAAGCGGCUGUGGAGUUUACAGAAGUGAGAAUGCCGGAAUGAGUAGCGCGAAUGAUGUGAGAAUCAUCAUGGCCGGAAACCUCAGGUUUUUGGAGGAAGGUUCGUCCGCUCCAAGUUAGGCGGGAGCUAAGGUGAGGCCGAAAGGCGUAGCCGAUGCACAGACGGUAGAGAUUCCGUCCCCACCGAAAGAUUUAAGCGCAGGGACACUUUUAGAAGGUCGGAGCCAGGUGUUGGUUCUGGUAGAGAUCGAGGGAAGAUUAGUACCGAAGUCCGGCUGGAUAAGAGGCGAGAAAAGCUGCGUGUAUAUCUAAGGUGCCCGUACCGCAAACCGACACAGGUAGGUAGGAAGAAGAUUCUAAGGCCAACGGGAGAAGGGUUGUUAAGGAACUCGGCAAGUUGACCCCGUAACUUCGGAAUAAGGGGUGCUCAUGAAAGUGAGCCGCAGAGAAUAGGCCCAGGCAACUGUUUACCAAAAACACAGGUUUGUGCUAAAUCGAAAGAUGACGUAUACGAGCUGACGCCUGCCCGGUGCUGGAAGGUUAAAAGGAGAUGUGCAAGCAUUGAAUUGAAGCCCCAGUGAACGGCGGCCGUAACUAUAACGGUCCUAAGGUAGCGAAAUUCCUUGUCAGGUAAGUUCUGACCCGCAUGAAAGGCGUAAUGAUUUGGGCACUGUCUCAACAGCCCGCCCGGCGAAAUUGUAGUACCGGUGAAGAUGCCGGUUACCCGCGACAAGACGGAAAGACCCCAUGGAGCUUUACUGUAGCCUAAUAUUGGGUUUCGGUGUUGCAUGCACAGGAUAGAUGGGACGCUAGGAAGUGAGUGCUUUGGCAUUCAUGGAGCGGCCGUUGGGAUACCAUCCUUGCGACAUUGGAAUUCUAACCUGCGCCUUUGAAUCAAGGCGGGGGACAUUGUUAGGUGGGCAGUUUGACUGGGGCGGUCGCCUCCUAAAGAGUA